RNAcentral lists this ribosomal RNA (497 nucleotides) under uncultured bacterium. Its description in RNAcentral is "partial 16S ribosomal RNA". It matches the Rfam family "Bacterial small subunit ribosomal RNA", at positions 28 to 507 of the family's 1533-position model. The record is from RNAcentral.
GAUGAACGCUGGCGGCGUGCCUAAUACAUGCAAGUCGAACGAAAAGACCAGGAGCUUGCUGCGCUGACGUUUGCGGCGGACGGGUGAGUAACACGUGGAUAACCUACCUAUAUGACUGGGAUAACUUCGGGAAUCCGGCGCUAAUACCGGAUAAUAUACUGAACCGCAUGGUUCAAUAGUGAAAGACGGUUUUGCUGUCACUUAUAGAUGGAUCCGCGCCGCAUUAGCUAGUUGGUAAGGUAACGGCUUACCAAGGCAACGAUGCGUAGCCGACCUGAGAGGGUGAUCGGCCACACUGGAACUGAGACACGGUCCAGACUACUACGAGAGGCCGCAGUCGGGAAGCUGCCGCAACGGUCGAAAGCCUGACGCAGGAACGGCGCGUGAGUGAUGGAGAUGUUGGGAUCGUAAAAAUGCGUUAUUAGGGAAGAACCACUGUGGAAUUAACUAUUGACAGCGUGACGGUACCUAGUCAGAAAGCCACGGCUAACUACGGG